RNAcentral lists this ribosomal RNA (469 nucleotides) under Anthericonia anketeschke. RNAcentral describes it as "partial 16S ribosomal RNA". It matches the Rfam family "Bacterial large subunit ribosomal RNA", at positions 1926 to 2608 of the family's 2925-position model. The record is from RNAcentral. Lineage: Eukaryota; Metazoa; Arthropoda; Insecta; Phasmatodea; Pseudophasmatidae.
AAUGGCCGCGGUAAUUUGACCGUGCAAAGGUAGCAUAAUCAUUAGUCUUUUAAUUGUUGACUUGUAUGAAUGGUUGGACGAGAUAAUUACUGUCUCAUAUUUAUUUAUUGAAUUUGAUUUUUUAGUUAAAAAGCUUAAAUUUUUUUGUGGGACGAGAAGACCCUAUAGAUUUUUAUUAAUUAUUAAUAAUAUAUUUUUUAGUUUGUUUAUUUAUAUUAUUAUAUUUUUUUUUGUUGGGGUGACAUUGAGAUAUAAUUAACUCUUUAUAUUAUUUACAAUUAUUUUUGUAUAUUUGACCUUCUAUUAAUGUUUUAAAGAUAAAAAUACCUUAGGGAUAACAGCGUAAUUUUUUUUGAGAGUUCUUAUCGACAAAGGAGAUUGCGACCUCGAUGUUGGAUUAAGAAUACUAUAAGGUGUAGAUUCUUUAUAAUGUAGGUCUGUUCGACCUUUGAAUUUUUACAUGAUCUGA